Sarcophilus harrisii (Tasmanian devil) is the source of this 795-nucleotide long non-coding RNA. RefSeq lists it as uncharacterized. The transcript is spliced from 3 exons. Lineage: Eukaryota; Metazoa; Chordata; Mammalia; Dasyuromorphia; Dasyuridae. The record is from RefSeq and is a predicted model, not a curated record.
CCAUCACAAUAGUUCAGAACCCCCUCCCCACUAUCCCAGUUAGAAACAUUCCUAACAUUAAGACUGAGAUUUAACCCUCAAUCCUAAUUAAAAUUUUUGUUUUCUCCAGUUAACCUCUUUUCAAUUUGAGGCAAGAUCAUGAUACAGGAAAUGUUAAGUGUAAAGAAGUGAGUAGAGAAUAUUACACUGUAUCUUAUUGGACAGAAAUGGGAAAGUCAUUAGAGUCUUCUUGAGAAUAUAAAUAGAAGAGAUUAUUGAUAUCGUUGGGAAACAGCCUCAUAAUGGAGACUUUGGGGUGUCCUGAAAAGAAGACUGAACCAAGUUCUUGGAUUUGUCAGCACCUGGACAAGUGACCUUAAAUGCCAUCCUCCCAGCUUCUCAAAGCUGUCACGUCCUGCUUGGCUUCUCCCCCUGAUGAAUCUGCUCUCCCGGCACUCAGCGCUGGCACUGGAGAAACAGCAAUUAAAGUGGCCAAUCAUGGGCACUCCUAAAUCACGGCUGAGUACUGGUGACAUGAUUAACGGCAGAUGCUCCAAGUGCUGGAGUCAGCAUGUUGGAUGCUUCCUUCCUUCCUUCUUCUCUGGCUACCUUGCAGCCACUUGACCUGGAUUUUCUCUGAAAUUUCCUGGAAAAGAUUCAACUUUAUUGGGGUGAUGUUGGACAAGCCAUUUUACUUUUGUUGAUCCUUGGUUUCUUCCUCUGUAAAAUGAAAGGGUUGGAUCUUAAUGUUUUUGUCACAAUCUUGUGCAGUUUUUGGAUCCCUGAUCAGAAUCAUGUUUUUAAAUGCCUCGAAUA